UAUCUCUGUAGAGUCUGCAUAUCAAUAAGCGGAGGAAAAGAAACUAACAAGGAUUCCCCUAGUAACGGCGAGUGAAGCGGGAAGAGCUCAAAUUUGAAAUCUUCAAGGUUUGACCUUGACGAAUUGUAGUUUAAAGAAGUGUUUUCGGUUAGAGGAGUAGUAAAAGUUCUUUGGAAUAGGACAUCAUAGAGGGUGAGAAUCCCGUAUUUGACUAUUUUUUCUAGCUUUGUGAUACACUUUCAAAGAGUCGGAUUGUUUGGGAAUGCAGUCCAAAAUGGGUGGUAAAUUUCAUCUAAAGCUAAAUAUUGGCGAGAGACCGAUAGCGAACAAGUACCGUGAGGGAAAGAUGAAAAGAACUUUGAAAAGAGAGUUAAACAGUACGUGAAAUUGUCAAAAGGGAAGCGUUUGACACCAGUGUUGUUUUUCCGAAAAUCAAUUAAAAAUUGAUUCAUGCCAGGUUGUAUUGACCUUAUCAGCUUGCAAUUUGGUUUUGGGUCUCUUUUUGAUGCACUUUUCGGUUAACAAGUCAACAUCAAUUUCCUUUGCUGUAAAAAGGUAAGAGGAAGGUGGCUUCAAUUUCGGUUGAAGUGUUUAUAGCCUUUUAUCUCUGCAGUCGGGGAGAUUGAGGUCUGCAGCGUAGAUCCUUCGGGGCUAGAUACAUUUAUGCUAAGUUAUAGCUUUUCAUAGACAACUUGUUGACUAUGUUUAGUCAUGUAGCUUACUCGUAAGUGCUAUUUUACCUACGCUUAGGAUGUUGAGCGCAUGUCUCUCUCU
RNAcentral lists this ribosomal RNA (774 nucleotides) under uncultured Neocallimastigales. RNAcentral describes it as "partial large subunit ribosomal RNA". It matches the Rfam family "Eukaryotic large subunit ribosomal RNA", at positions 24 to 642 of the family's 3401-position model. Lineage: Eukaryota; Fungi; Neocallimastigomycota; Neocallimastigomycetes; Neocallimastigales. The record is from RNAcentral.